GGGAAAUGGUGGUGAUAUGACAUACACGGCAGUCCAGCCAUAAGGGCUUGAAUAUCGCUGACCCUGUGUUCACAUAAUGGUGACUAGAAAGACCAUCUUGAUGAUGAUUCGGGAACUACACUUCUCAUAUUUGGAGGUGAUUCUUGUGGUCAGCCCAACCUGUCCCUAAGGCAUCCAUAAUAAGCGUCACUGUCAAGGAAGGGGCUGAAAAGGACAGUUAAUUCCUCACAUUCACGUGCUAUGAAGCCAAACACUCGAGAGGUCACAACGAACAGGAGGUAGAUUUUUUUAAAAUGUGCAUAUGCUCUUUUAGGGAGGUUACCAAAUGGGUCC
This is a long non-coding RNA of Mauremys mutica (yellowpond turtle), 333 nucleotides long. RefSeq lists it as uncharacterized. NCBI's taxonomy places the organism in Eukaryota, Metazoa, Chordata, Testudines, Geoemydidae. The transcript is spliced from 3 exons. The record is from RefSeq and is a predicted model, not a curated record.